This 252-nucleotide ribosomal RNA is filed under the name uncultured bacterium. Its description in RNAcentral is "partial 16S ribosomal RNA". It matches the Rfam family "Bacterial small subunit ribosomal RNA", at positions 524 to 776 of the family's 1533-position model. The record is from RNAcentral.
UACGGAAGAUGCGAGCGUUAUCCGGAUUUAUUGGGUUUAAAGGGUGCGUAGGCGGGCUUUUAAGUCAGCGGUAAAAAUUCGGGGCUCAACCCCGUCCGGCCGUUGAAACUGGGGGCCUUGAGUGGGCGAGAAGAAGGCGGAAUGCGUGGUGUAGCGGUGAAAUGCAUAGAUAUCACGCAGAACCCCGAUUGCGAAGGCAGCCUUCCGGCGCCCUACUGACGCUGAGGCACGAAAGUGCGGGGAUCGAACAGG